GAGUCCGAUUAGCCAUGCUAGUUGUGCGGGUUUAGACCCGCAGCGAAAGGCUCAGUAACACGUGCCCAGGCUACCCCUGUGGACGGGGAAUACUCUCGGGAAACUGAGGCUAAUCCCCCGAUAACGCUUUGCUCCUGAAGGGGCCAAGCCGGAAACGCUCCGGCGCCACAGGAUGCGGCUGCGGUCGAUUAGGUAGACGGUGGGGUAACGGCCCACCGUGCCCAUAAUCGGUACGGGUUGUGAGAGCAAGAGCCCGGAGACGGAAUCUGAGACAAGAUUCCGGGCCCUACGGGGCGCAGCAGGCGCGAAACCUUUACACUGUACGAAAGUGCGAUAAGGGGACUCCGAGUGUGAAGGCAUAGAGCCUUCACUUUUGUACACCGUAAGGUGGUGCACGAAUAAGGACUGGGCAAGACCGGUGCCAGCCGCCGCGGUAAUACCGGCAGUCCGAGUGAUGGCCGAUCUUAUUGGGCCUAAAGCGUCCGUAGCUGGCUGAACAAGUCCGUUGGGAAAUCUGUCCGCUUAACGGGCAGGCGUCCAGCGGAAACUGUUCAGCUUGGGACCGGAAGACCUGAGGGGUACGUCUGGGGUAGGAGUGAAAUCCUGUAAUCCUGGACGGACCGCCGGUGGCGAAAGCGCCUCAGGAGAACGGAUCCGACAGUGAGGGACGAAAGCUAGGGUCUCGAACCGGAUUAGAUACCCGGGUAGUCCUAGCUGUAAACGAUGUCCGCUAGGUGUGGCGCAGGCUACGAGCCUGCGCUGUGCCGUAGGGAAGCCGAGAAGCGGACCGCCUGGGAAGUACGUCUGCAAGGAUGAAACUUAAAGGAAUUGGCGGGGGAGCACUACAACCGGAGGAGCCUGCGGUUUAAUUGGACUCAACGCCGGACAUCUCACCAGCCCCGACAGUAGUAAUGACGGUCAGGUUGAUGACCUUACCCGAGGCUACUGAGAGGAGGUGCAUGGCCGCCGUCAGCUCGUACCGUGAGGCGUCCUGUUAAGUCAGGCAACGAGCGAGACCCGCACUCCUAAUUGCCAGCAGUACCCUUUGGGUAGCUGGGUACAUUAGGUGGACUGCCGCUGCCAAAGCGGAGGAAGGAACGGGCAACGGUAGGUCAGUAUGCCCCGAAUGGGCUGGGCAACACGCGGGCUACAAUGGUCGAGACAAUGGGAAGCCACUCCGAGAGGAGGCGCUAAUCUCCUAAACUCGAUCGUAGUUCGGAUUGAGGGCUGAAACUCGCCCUCAUGAAGCUGGAUUCGGUAGUAAUCGCGUGUCAGCAGCGCGCGGUGAAUACGUCCCUGCUCCUUGCACACACCGCCCGUCAAAUCACCCGAGUGGGGUUCGGAUGAGGCCGGCAUGCGCUGGUCAAAUCUGAGCUCCGCAAGGGGGAUUAAGUCGUAACAAGGUAGCCGUAGGCGAAUCUGCGGCUGGAUCACCUCCU
RNAcentral lists this ribosomal RNA (1439 nucleotides) under Halobacterium salinarum. RNAcentral's name for it is "16S ribosomal RNA". It matches the Rfam family "Archaeal small subunit ribosomal RNA". Lineage: Archaea; Methanobacteriati; Methanobacteriota; Halobacteria; Halobacteriales; Halobacteriaceae. The record is from RNAcentral.